This 459-nucleotide ribosomal RNA is filed under the name uncultured bacterium. Its description in RNAcentral is "partial 16S ribosomal RNA". It matches the Rfam family "Bacterial small subunit ribosomal RNA", at positions 338 to 795 of the family's 1533-position model. The record is from RNAcentral.
CCUACGGGAGGCAGCAGUGAGGAAUAUUGGUCAAUGGGCGCGAGCCUGACCCAGCCAAGUCGCGUGAGGGAAGACGGUCCUAUGGAUUGUAAACCUCUUUUGUCGGGGAGCAAAAGACGCCACGCGUGGCGUUCCGAGAGUACCCGAAGAAAAAGCAUCGGCUAACUCCGUGCCGGAAGCCGCGGUAAUAAGGAGGAUGCGAGCGUUAUCCGGAUUUAUUGGGGUUAAAGGGUGAGCAGGCGGAAGAUCAAGGCAGCGGUAAAAUUGAGAGGCUCAACCUCUUCGAGCCGUUGAAAAUGGUUUUCGUGAGUGAGUGAGAAGUAUGCGGAAUGCGUGGUGUAGCGGUGAAAUGCAUAGAUAUCACGCAGAACUCCGAUUGCGAAGGCAGCAUACCGGCGCGCAACUGACGCUCAUGCACGAAAGUGUGGGUAUCGAACAGGAUUAGAUACCCCGGUAGUC